RNAcentral lists this transfer RNA (75 nucleotides) under bacterium. RNAcentral's name for it is "tRNA-Asp". It matches the Rfam family "tRNA". Rfam says of the family: Transfer RNA (tRNA) molecules are approximately 80 nucleotides in length. The record is from RNAcentral.
GCGCUCGUGGUGUAGCCUGGUUAACACAUUCCCCUGUCACGGGAAAGAUCGCCGGUUCAAAUCCGGUCGAGCGCG